RNAcentral lists this long non-coding RNA (572 nucleotides) under Cricetulus griseus (Chinese hamster). RNAcentral describes it as "lncRNA (ENSCGRG00015010602.2)". The record is from RNAcentral. Lineage: Eukaryota; Metazoa; Chordata; Mammalia; Rodentia; Cricetidae.
CCCAAAACCAAAACAAACAACAACCCCCCCCCCCCAAAAUCACCACCACCACUGGAGACAAAAAUUCUUCCUGGGGUCUGAGCUUGCUGCUCUGUUGGUAGAGUGCUACCUUAGCUCACAUAAAGUCCCCGGCUCAAGCCCAGUAUACACCAGACAAGGUAGUGCACAACGUAAUUCCAGCCCUUGGGAGGUGGAGGCAGAAAGACCAGAAGAAGUUUGAGGUCAUUCUUGCCUACAUGCACCAGACCUGGUCUCAAACAAUGGGAGGAGACAGCAUAGAAAGAUAAGGAAAUUAAGGGGCCGUAGGAAGGGAACAGAAGGGAGUCCUUUAUGCUGGAGUCUGCUUGGAGUCCCUUGCCAGCUGAGAACUAAGUUCCAGUGCAAUCCACGAAACUUGUGGAGACCCAAGACCAGAGGAAAAUCAGCAGCCGGAGUCCAGCUGCCACCCUUAGCAAAUGAACUUGGUUGUUUUCACGAAGGUCCUGCCUCCACGUUCCUGUCCUGAGUUCCUGCCUUGAAUGCCCUCAGUGACGGAGUGUGGCCUGAGAGUUGUAAGAUAAAAUGAAUCCUUU